RNAcentral lists this ribosomal RNA (486 nucleotides) under uncultured bacterium. Its description in RNAcentral is "bacterial SSU rRNA". It matches the Rfam family "Bacterial small subunit ribosomal RNA", at positions 121 to 603 of the family's 1533-position model. The record is from RNAcentral.
GGAUCUGGCUUAUGGAGGGGGAUAACGACGGGAAACUGUCGCUAAUACCGCGUAAUGUCUAAGGACUAGAGGGUGGGACUUUCGGGCCACCUGCCAUAAGAUGAGCCCAAGUGGGAUUAGGUAGUUGGUGGGGUAAAGGCCUACCAAGCCGACGAUCUCUAGCUGGUCUGAGAGGAUGACCAGCCACACUGGAACUGAGACACGGUCCAGACUCCUACGGGAGGCAGCAGUGGGGAAUAUUGCACAAUGGGGGGAACCCUGAUGCAGCCAUGCCGCGUGGAUGAAGAAGGCCUUCGGGUUGUAAAGUUCUUUCGGUGAUGAGGAAGGGUGAUGUUUUAAUAGAGCAUUACAUUGACGUUAGUCACAGAAGAAGCACCGGCUAACUCCGUGCCAGCAGCCGCUGUAAUACGGAGGGUGCGAGCGUUAAUCGGAAUGACUGUUCGUAAAGGGCACCCACGCGGUGACUUAAGUGAGAUGUGAAAGCCC